AAAGUUCGCCGUUCGAAUUCAGCUUACUAGCCAUUGGCGAGGUCGGCCCGGUCAUCCUAUCGGAGACUGGUCGAUCGCGCGGGCGACUGGCGGUGGGCGCAUUUUCGAGCGGCGGAGCGCCACGACCGUUUCGGCGGCGGUCAGAACCUCCCGAAGAAGGUGCCCGAUUGCCUAUCGGCGUCGGUGUUAUAGAUUCGGGGUUGAGCGUGUCCCGUCGUCGGAGCGAGGAAGACUUUGCGCGAUCUGCGUCGUAAGUCGAGUCUGCGUCGGUGGCCAAAUUGCACGCACUGUCGUCAGUGCGCGCUAACCGCAUCGGUCUAGGCUCGGCCCUCUCGGCGUAGGUUCGGAGUCUGUGGCGAAUCGGUCGGUAGCCUGUCCGACCCGUCUUGAAACACGGACCAAGGAGUCUAACAUGUGCGCGAGUCGUAGGGCUAUACGAAACCCGAAGGCGUAAUGAAAGUAAAGAUCUGUUUCGCGACAGAUUCGGGUAGGAUCUCGCCGUUAGCGAUAGCGGCGGGCGCACUACCGGCCCGUUUCAGCCGCGUCGUCGGCGAGGCGGAGCUAGAGCGCACACGUUGGGACCCGAAAGAUGGUGAACUAUGCCUGAGUAGGACGAAGCCAGAGGAAACUCUGGUGGAGGUCCGCAGCGAUUCUGACGUGCAAAUCGAUCGUCAAACUUGGGUAUAGGGGCGAAAGACUAAUCGAACCAUCUAGUAGCUGGUUCCUGUCGAAGUUUCCCUCAGGAUAGCUGGCGCUCGUUUACAGCAGUUUUAUCC
This 776-nucleotide ribosomal RNA is filed under the name Paracanthobdella livanowi. Its description in RNAcentral is "partial large subunit ribosomal RNA". It matches the Rfam family "Eukaryotic large subunit ribosomal RNA", at positions 494 to 1006 of the family's 3401-position model. The record is from RNAcentral. Lineage: Eukaryota; Metazoa; Annelida; Clitellata; Acanthobdellida.